This is a long non-coding RNA of Portunus trituberculatus (swimming crab), 609 nucleotides long. RefSeq lists it as uncharacterized. NCBI's taxonomy places the organism in Eukaryota, Metazoa, Arthropoda, Malacostraca, Decapoda, Portunidae. The record is from RefSeq and is a predicted model, not a curated record. The transcript has 2 exons.
AUCAUGGCGUUAGUAUCUACCGCCAAAAAAUGCGGUUGACCUCACUGUUGUGAGAUUAUAUUUUCAGCAUUUAUAGAGGUGACAAUGCCGUAACAGAGGUGUUGGAGAUUAUUUAUGCACCAAGGAACAGGUGUGUAAGGUGUGGAAGUGGUGUUGAUAAGGGAUUAGUGUGUUGGGAGGGAAAGAAGUGGUGGUGACAGUGGUGAUGGCCGUGUGGUGUUUGGUAUUGCUUAUAGACCCCAUAAACACACUCAAACACCCCGCAACACAUCCAGAACGUGCCCAUGUACACCCACACACAGAAAGUGAAGUGAUGACAUUCCCGACAGCACCAAACGGCGAGACGAGAGCAGUGCAAGCCUUCACCACAACCCUCCACAGCGCCUGACGAUAAUUUAUUUAAGUUCAAGACAACUUGUAUGAGGAACAUCAAUUUGAAAAAAAAAGUAUAGUCAAAACCUACAAGCUAAGUGUAGUGUGCUGUUCAGGUGUCUAGUCUAGAACACCUGAACCAUUGCAGACAAGAGAUCAAAUUUUCAGGACAACUAAUUAACACAAUCAACCUGUAUGUGAGUACUACUACAGAAAUAAAAUCAAUGAAUAACAAAA